RNAcentral lists this long non-coding RNA (293 nucleotides) under Phaseolus vulgaris (common bean). RNAcentral's name for it is "long non-coding RNA (PVUL_LNC005326)". Lineage: Eukaryota; Viridiplantae; Streptophyta; Magnoliopsida; Fabales; Fabaceae. The record is from RNAcentral.
CGGUCCCUUGACCCGGUCAACCCAUGUGCCAGGACCAUACUUAAGGUACGAGGUCGACCAUGUGUCACACGUGGCCGACCGACACCGAGUGCUCAAGUCAAAGGUUGACCCAAUUAACGAAGGUUAACCCAUGGUUAGGAAACGGCCUAAUCCAACCCUAAUUGCUAAACAACCCCCUAAUCCGGCCCAACAGCGAGGGCCCAUCAAGGUAAUAUAAAUAUCACGCAUUCCAAGGAAUAAGGUACGUCAUUAUCUACAGUAUUCCAGCCAGCCGAAUACGAUACCCCACUGAC